ACCAGGCAGCGCCCUGUCACAUUCAUGACCUUCACUCGCGUAGUGCUGUGUGGGUAGCUAGUUUCUCAUUUCUGUUACUUGUGGGACGAAAAUGGAUUCUGCAAGUUAAAAAUACGUUUGAAAUGCACUUUUAGGGACUUCAUAAUAGGGGGAGAGACACAAGAAUUGACCAUAUGCCUCACGAGGGUUGGAAGACUGGAUUUGUUUCUGUGAUGAGUUUAAUUUUUGUUUCAGAAUGUUAUACAGAGCCUUGGCUUUGAGAAAAGAUGACUACACGAGUUAUUCAUGUACUUCAAAGACGUCUGAUUGAAUUUGAGGAGACGUAAUAUUCUCAUUGAAUAUACUAUAUCCAUGAAAGCAGGUGUGUUAUUAAGGAUGGUGAAAUGCAGUCUUUAUCAUUUACGCAUUUCAGCACAUGCCAUCAUCAGGUCAUAAUGUUUGCUUUCUUCGGUCUGUGAUGCUGACUCAUGACAAGGACUUGGUUUCAUCACCAUCUGCUGUAACAGCGAGCGACUACUGACACACAGCUGUAUGAAGCAGAAAUGCAUGCAUGGCCUCUUGUGCAACAAGAAGAGACUACUGCUCAUAUUACAGCUGACCUAAGGACACAAGAGGAUGCUGAGCAGCUAGUCCUACAUUAUGUUGGAUUAUAGAUAGAAGCAUCUGCACGUUGCGCCUUUGUGUGAGAGAUGCGUGUUUGGAAUAAAACAUUAUGCAGGAAGAACUUUAUUAUGCUUGUAGUAAGCUAUCUCAACAGCAGACAUUUAUGUAUAGUUAAUUUGUUCCUUCUGCAGAAUUUUGGUAUGAAAUCUAGAGUCCAUUAAUUCUGAUCAUCGCCUAUUUCUUGUUGCAGGCCAUGGAUUUUAUUAAGAAAGUUGUCUGAUUAGGAACUUUAAUUUUUGUCUGAAAUUUUUUGAUUUACACUAUAAAUGUAUCUGAUAAUGAACUUUGUUCAAAUCUCACUAAUUUUGUGGUACAUUGGAACUUGAUGUUUCAUUCGGCCAGCAUAGUGUGAUGAGAGGAUAUUAAGAGUUUUGAUUAAAAUAUUACCAUGGUAAUAGUUGUGUCACAGGAUAAGAGAAUUUUUUAUGGAGACUGGAAUAAGAGAAACUUGUGUGUUCUUUCUUGCUUUUUUGGUUAAUGCGAAGAUAGAUUUACAUGCACUUGAAGCAUUGUGGUACACUAUCAACUUGAAGCAUGUUAAGUUAAGUUAAGUUGUUGUACAGUUGGCAGAGAUGAAGAUGAUAACCAAGUAAGAAACUUUCUGGUUUCUGUAUAAUUAUGAAUAGUUGGUAACUGGAAUAUGUUAGAGAAAUGCAUAGACUAUUCCUAGUGACAGUGCCUUCAGAAAUAUGUGAACACCAUAUUUUUAGGGAGAAUGCCUUGAAAAAUACAUUCUCAAUUGGAAGGUUUAAAAAAUACGGAAACGUAGGUAGUAUGUAGCAGUAGGUGUGUAUUGAAUUGUCAGGUAAAUAUUUUUCUUGCUGAAGGAAAGUCAAAGAAUGUGUGGUGAUUGUGAUUGUUGAGUCUGCAGACGGAGCUGGCUUUGGCUCAUAUUGAGAUUGCUUUUUUGAAAACUGCAGAAAAUACCAGUUGUAGUUGUAGCAGUAACUGUUCAUCCUCUUUGUGGACCAACGUUAAAGCCAAAGACCGAAGCAGAAUCAAAAGUCUUUCCUCCAUAAAUGUGUGAAUGUAAAACUGACAAAGAAGUUUGAGCCUCUAAGUAUGGAGCCAAAAAUUGUUGCUCAGUUGAAGAAAGAUGAGAAUCCUAAACCUAAAAAUAAAAAAUAUAAG
Non-coding RNA from Zootermopsis nevadensis, 1794 nucleotides. NCBI's taxonomy places the organism in Eukaryota, Metazoa, Arthropoda, Insecta, Blattodea, Termopsidae. The record is from RefSeq and is a predicted model, not a curated record.